Cyclopterus lumpus (lumpfish) is the source of this 2272-nucleotide RNA transcript. It is a transcript of the gene named hydroxysteroid (17-beta) dehydrogenase 7, with no coding region annotated. The transcript has 10 exons. NCBI's taxonomy places the organism in Eukaryota, Metazoa, Chordata, Actinopteri, Perciformes, Cyclopteridae. The record is from RefSeq and is a predicted model, not a curated record.
UGUUGCUUGGAAGGAAAAAAAAGAUCCGGCAGGAGAAAAAAAAAAGAAAAUAUGAAUACGGUGGUUUUGGUCACGGGAGCAAAUAGCGGCAUCGGCCUGGUGCUGUGUGAGCGUCUCCUCUCGCAGGACUUGGAGGGUCUCCAGCUGUGCCUGGCCUGCAGGAGCAUGCGGCGGGCUCAGGCCGCUCGCUCGGCCCUCCUCGCCUCUCACCCCGCCGCCCAGGUGGCCCUGCUGCAGGUGGACACCAGCAGCAUCUCCUCCGUCAUCGCCGCCGCGCGGGAGGUCAAACUCAGGUACAACCGUCUGGACUACCUCUACCUGAACGCAGGCAUCAUGCCAAACCCCCAGUUUGAUGUGAAAGCCUUUUUCAAGGGCCUCUUCUCCAGUCGUAUCGUCUCCAUGUUCGCCACCGGGGAGGGGAUUCUCACGCAGAAGGACGGCGUCACCCCCGACGGCCUGCAAGACGUGUUUGCGACCAACCUCUUCGGUCACUUCCUACUCAGUUCUGAAGGGAGGGACCGGCAUCGGGGUUGUGUUGGAGCAUCAUGCUGCAGGCAGUGGAAGACCAGAGGAAUGCCGGGUCAGCGUGGGAAGAAAACAUACAGGUGUAUCCUUCCUUUAAUGUAUGACCUGUCCAACAGGUAAGGGGGUGAAUAUGCUAUUAAGCAGCUGCUGCAGAACCCCCCAGUCACCCAAAGCAGCCUUCAAUAGUUUGCACAUUCAUAAGAUAAGAAUAUAAAAUACAACUGAGAAUAUAAAAUGUACAUUACACCCCACAGAGGUUAUUUCCAGAGUCCUUAAAGGCAGUUUGGGGAAUCGUGCUGGAGGCAGAAUAAGAGAAGGCCUUUUAAUUUUUUUUUAAAGAAUUGAAAGAGCAACGGUUACCUCUGUUUACUAGACAUGUAAGUGGGUAAUAAGUGGGCAGCAGGCCAAGGAUGGAUUUAUAAAUGAAGUGUUAUAGUGUAAAGUUCAUGGAUAAAAAUGAAGUAAACUCAUCUGUUUCUCACGCAAACCUAGUUAAAAUCUCUUAAUUCAAAUCAGCAAUUUGCUGUAUUUUUUUGUGUAUUGUCACGCUGCGUUGUUCUCCAUGUCGUUUGCCAAGAUCAGGGAGCUGGAACCGGUUCUGUGCCACGCGGGCCGGACGUCCCGGCUGAUCUGGACCUCCUCCAGCAACGCUCACCGCUCGGCUUUCGACCUCGACGACGUGCAGCACCGGAGAGGCGCCCGACCUUACAGCUCCUCCAAGUACGCCUCCGACCUGCUCAGCCUGGCGCUCAACACGCGCUACAACAAACAGGGUUUGUUCUCAUCCGUCACCUGUCCUGGUUUUGUGAUGACCAACCUGACCUACGGGAUCCUGCCCUCCUUCCCAGCCGUCCUCUGGACUCUGCUAAUGCCCGUCUUUUGGCUCAUAAGAAUGUUCACCAAUACUUUCACGCUGACGCCUUAUAACGGAGCUGAAGCCCUGCUCUGGCUAUUUAAGCAAAAGCCUGAAUCGCUGGACCCUCAAGCCAAGUACCACAGCUUCACAUCUGGUCUAGGAAACAACUACACACUUCCACGAAAGAUGGACAUCGACGUGGAAACAUCGGACGCUCUGUUUGAGAAGUUGCUGCGACUGGAACGUGACGUGAGAGAGAAGCUGAAGGAGAGAGCCGAAGAAUCGCAGUAUCCCUGCAGGACUUGAUGCGGAUCGCACAGAGGAGGCAUACUUUCUUUCAGAGCUCACAAAACAUGGCAGCCGGAAUCCACAGCACAAAAUAAACAAUGAUGGUGAUGGUGAUAACGUCCACUAGAAGACACACAGCUCAAACCUUCAGCAGCCAGUCGGACAAAAAUACAAAUGUUCUUUCAGGAUGGACUGAAAAAGUCCCGUGUGUUGGGAUUCUCCCUGCAGCAAGAUAUGGAUGAUUUUUUUGGACACUCCCAGGUGUAUUGCCAAUAGAUGAAUAGAACGAUUAAUGCAUAUACAGACACAUCAGGGCGAAACAGAAUUGUCGAGCCCGUCGUCCACUUUUGGUACAGGAUUUAAGAGGGAACUCAUUCCCACUUCCAGAUGAUGUCUCACAUAGCGCCUUCAGUUACCUCUUUAGGAAAAUAUUGGCUAAAUCGUGGUCAACAAAGGAUACUUUGGAUAUUAUUAUAAAGGCUCACUUGUGAUUAGUUAUUUUAAACAAGUAUAUUGUGGUGUUAUUUGUACUUGAAUUCUUUGUUUGUUGGAAAGUCUGGUGUGAAAAUGUUCAAUAAAUAAAAACACAACUGGUAAAAGGUC